UACGUAGGUGGCAAGCGUUGUCCGGAUUUAUUGGGUUUAAAGGGUGCGUAGGCGGCCCUGUAAGUCAGUGCUGAAAUAUCCCAGCUUAACUGGGAGGGUGGCAUUGAUACUGCGGGGCUAGAGUACAGAUGAGGUGGGCGGAAUUGACGGUGUAGCGGUGAAAUGCUUAGAUAUCGUCAAGAACACCUAUAGCGAAGGCAGCUUACUAGGCUGUAACUGACGCUGAGGCACGAAAGUGUGGGGAUCAAACAGG
Molecule: ribosomal RNA, 253 nt
Filed under: uncultured bacterium
Lineage: Bacteria
Description: partial 16S ribosomal RNA
Rfam family: Bacterial small subunit ribosomal RNA
Source: RNAcentral